This is a non-coding RNA of Electrophorus electricus (electric eel), 868 nucleotides long. NCBI's taxonomy places the organism in Eukaryota, Metazoa, Chordata, Actinopteri, Gymnotiformes, Gymnotidae. The record is from RefSeq and is a predicted model, not a curated record.
UGCGGGACCUUCACCGUUAGCCUGCAUUAGCAGGACAUUACAUGUCAUAAGCUCACAGCACUAGCGCGGAAUACCCCCAACCGCAGACACGCGAUCCGACAGGGGAGACGCGGAUGAAUAAGUGUGUAAAUAAGAAGAACGCGGGCUGGCGGUGUGUUGGCACUGUGAGACGGACAGCUGUGACGCUGAGUCAGGGCGCCCGGCGUCGGUGCGGCUGUUUCCAGAGACCAGGGUGUGGCAUGGUAGGAGGUCUCCGUCACAGAACGUCCCAUCGCGUGUGUUUGCGUGCGGGUGAGUGGAGAGGGGCCAGAGAAGAGGACUGAGCCACAAGACAGCACGCUCUUCCUCUUCCUCUUCCUCAGCGGUGUCAGGUACACAGGAGCAUCUGCCUCGUUUAGGACGACCUCAUGCUACACUACAGCUCCAGCAAACACGUCCAUAAGCAUCAAAGUGCUCUGAGUGUAGGUGAGUUCACAGAUGACCAUCCCAUGGUGGAAGAAAGCGUCUCUUUAGUCGGGAGCAAGAAGCAGAAAUCACCACCCUGGUGUUGCUAAAUAAUGCCAUCAGACUCAAAUACAAACACAAAUGAAGAAAGACGACACCAUACUCCACAUCAGAAGGAAUGUUUCCACAUCAACCACUGGCCACAUACUGAGAAGACGUAGGAGGAGUAUGAAACAAAUAUAUUGGAGAAGAAUUCUGAUCAUGUGAAAGAAAUGUGACAUGCGCGUGUACAAAGUAUAUUUAAGCAUGAAAUGAACGCUGACCAGAUUGAAAACAUCUACACUCAAGAGGCUGCUCUCAGUUUGUCCAAAAGGCACUGCAGAGACAGGAACACCAGAGGACGAAGAGCUACAGUGGACGUCCC